UAUUGAACGCAUAUUGCGGCCACGGGUCCGUCCUGUGGCCACGCCCGUCUGAGGGUCGGCGACGUUAUACCCAUCGCUGGAAGGCUCUGGUCCAGCGCCUUGAGCUUUCGUAGCCGUAGGGCUCCGUGGCUUGAAAUGAAGACCGUGAAAGAAAAAGUCGUCCUCCUCAUCGCUCACAAGUCCUCAUGCGAGCAAAGGACAUGGCCCGGAUGAAACUGUCUUUGCGAGCGCGCGAGAGCGGUGAAAAGGAAGCGAUCCUAUUUCCGACCUCAGAUCGGACGAGAUUACCCGCUGAAUUUAAGCAUAUCAC
This 310-nucleotide ribosomal RNA is filed under the name Hemistomia sp. NeKa12_1. RNAcentral's name for it is "eukaryotic LSU rRNA". Lineage: Eukaryota; Metazoa; Mollusca; Gastropoda; Littorinimorpha; Tateidae. The record is from RNAcentral.